This 380-nucleotide unclassified non-coding RNA is filed under the name Hevea brasiliensis (rubber tree). The record is from RNAcentral. Lineage: Eukaryota; Viridiplantae; Streptophyta; Magnoliopsida; Malpighiales; Euphorbiaceae.
GACCUGGCCUGAUGUAAAAUAUUCUUCUUUUUCUCUCCUCUUUAAAUUUAUGUGUUGGGCCACUAUCUUUGAUUACAUUCUUACCUUCACAAAAUUAAUUGUUAUUUUGCUUAGAUAAGUCCUUCUUGGGCUGACCAUUUUAUCAAAAAGCAAAGAAAAAUUUUGCUUGAAGUAGAGUGAAGUAUAUUUAGAAACCAGCAUUGCCAAUAUUUUCCACGUAUACCAUAUUUAAGUUCUCUCUACAUUGAUUCUUGAUAAGAAAUUUGCCCUUUGACAAACCUAAAACUUUUAAGAGAGAAACACUGGGAAAAGUUGGCAUUUAAGCACCUGCAGUUACAGAAUUUAGAAUUUUGCUGUUAUAUGUGUGUGUGUGUGUGUGU